GAUGAAGAACGUAGCGAAAUGCGAUACGUAAUGUGAAUUGCAAAUUCAGUGAAUCAUCGAGUCUUUGAACGCACAUUGCGCCCCCUGGUAUUCCGGGGGGCAUGCCUGUCCGAGCGUCAUUGCUGCCCUCAAGCACGGCUUGUGUGUUGGGCCCCGUCCUCCGAUCCCGGGGGACGGGCCCGAAAGGCAGCGGCGGCACCGCGUCCGGUCCUCGAGCGGAUGGGGCUUUGUCACCCGCUCUGUAGGCCCGGCCGGCGCUUGCCGAUCAACCCAAAUUUUUAUCCAGGUUGACCUCGGAUCAGGUAGGGAUACCCGCUGAACUUAAGCAUAUCAAUAAGCGGAGGA
RNAcentral lists this unclassified non-coding RNA (345 nucleotides) under soil metagenome. RNAcentral's name for it is "partial contains 5.8S ribosomal RNA, internal transcribed spacer 2, and large subunit ribosomal RNA". The stretch from base 1 to 119 matches the Rfam family "5.8S ribosomal RNA", at positions 35 to 154 of the family's 154-position model. The record is from RNAcentral.